Molecule: non-coding RNA, 126 nt
Filed under: Peromyscus maniculatus bairdii (prairie deer mouse)
Lineage: Eukaryota; Metazoa; Chordata; Mammalia; Rodentia; Cricetidae
Also listed under: 1 other name
Source: RNAcentral
CAUUUAUACGAAAGGAAAAGAGUUUAGCAUUGACUUUGAAAAGGAUAGAAGAGUUGCUUGGGCCUAACAACAUAAAUACAUAUAAGGCAUUAUUAGCUGCUUGCUGGCAUCUAACUAGUUUUUUCA